Long non-coding RNA from Equus caballus (horse), 5072 nucleotides. NCBI's taxonomy places the organism in Eukaryota, Metazoa, Chordata, Mammalia, Perissodactyla, Equidae. The record is from Ensembl.
GGGAAAUAGGGCAGUGUCUUCAGUCUCUGGUCUUCUGUCGCUCCUGAUUUCUCCAGAGUUCUGACAGCAGUGCUGCACUCACACCCACAGGUUGUUUCAGUACCUGCGUAGGUUUUGUGUGAACUCCUUUAAACAGGUGCCUCCCCCUCUCCCCACAUCAGUCUUGGAAGACGGCUUGGGCUCCGGGCUGGAGGUUGUAGAACGAGCAGAGGAACCCAGUAACUGAUGAUACAGUGGUGGCAGAGAUGCAAUCGUGUGGUUGCCCCCAUCUCAGAUCAUCCAGGCUCACUUGAAGGGAGCUUACUGUCCCCUCUGUUGCCCAUUUUUGUUCUUGUGUUGACCAGACCUUUGAAGAAUGUUACCUGGUUCACUAGGAGAGCGCUUGGUCCAGAGGACCGAGCCAGGUGUAUAGAGCAGACAGGGAUCUAUGAGAGAGGAUUUUAAUCCCCAAAGGAGCCUUUGCUCCAUUGACGUCAGACAUGCAUGCGGAUGACUUCAGCGCAGGGUGGUUGUGCCGAGGGCCGUGAGACUGACAUAAACCAACUACUCUGAGAGUCUGGGUUGGGGGAGAACUCUUCUAGCAAGGUGAUUAUGAAGAGCUCUGUGAAGGAGUGGGCUUGAUCUGAGCUUUCAAAGAUGCUCUGCAUUUUAGUAGGUGGUGACUGAAGGUUGCCUGGGAGACACCCUUCCAAGUACAGGAAACGGCACAAGCGAAUGAGUAGAAGGCUGAGCCAGUGAGACACAACAUAUUUCACUCAACGACCGGAUGUGUGAGAGAACUGCUUAUUUUUUAAAUGAGGUCCUUGCCUUUCCAGGACAUUGACGUAAGGCAGAACAUGCUUCCUGUACUUCUCUAAGCAGCCCGAGUGGACCAAGACAAGGGCCGUGUACGGCGGGCGCCACUGAGUGUGAGACCUGCGGGUUCCUCCUCGUGUCUGGGGAUUGGCAGUUCUCUUCCCCACUUCACAGACGAGGAAGCUGAAACCCAGAGAGGACACAUCACCUGCCCAAGCGUCACAAUAAAACUUUUGAGACCAAGCUUCUCCCAGACACUAAAGAAAGAGUUGUAAAUCGUCCUGGCCACGGUGGGUAUACAGCAUCUCAGAAGCUUCUGCUUCCCGCAACCCGACUCUGCUUGAGGCAUUUUGCCAUGUGCUGGAGAAACAACAAUGAAAAGAUAACCUCAUCGCGAAACAAAGACAAGCAAAUAAAGUAAUUUCAAAUUAUGGGAACUAUAGCAAAGGAAACGACCAGGGUACUGACGCUGAGAAUAAUCUCUUAGGCACUGUUGUGAUGGAGAUCAUUUUGAGACAUUUCACCGAUGUGGUUAAACUUGUAGUUCAUAUAUUCCCGAGCUGAAUAAGAUACCACUGGAAGUAUCACACCUUCUCUAGAAAGUCGUCUGGAAGCUUCUGAUAGAGCUGUGUGUUCUCCACCUGAAUGCUCGUCCUUCAAAUGCCUGAGUGAGUCCUGGGCUUGGCUCUGACACUGCUGGGAGAGCUCAGAGACGUGGCAGUUCCUGCUGCCCUUCGGCUGCAUCGCCGACGUGUGACGGCCAGGCUUCUACAGUGACGUCUUACCAUUUUAGCCCUGCAACAUAGGGUGAUCUUUUUGAAGAUUUUUUAAAGUGACAAUUAAGAUCCAAAUUUAAGUGAAAUCCAACUGUGAACAAUAGUACCAAUGUCAACCAAGGCCAGAUGGGUCAACGCAUGCUUUUCACGCUUGGCAGUGGCCCAUCCUGCCUGGCAGCUGGCGGGGCGCCUACCACAGCAUGGCUUGCCAAGCAGCGCUGUCUCCAAACCCGGGCUCCGAACCUGCGAACCCCUGGCCGCUGAGAAGCGGAACGUGCGCACUUAACAGCUGCGCCACCGGCCGGCCCCUGGACUCUUCUGAUGACUUCUGCCUGCCUUUCUGAAAAUGCCCGUCCUGCCUUCCCCCGACUUUCCAGCCCCAGGCCCCCCAACACUCCCUGCCCCCAGAGCAGAUCCCACCCCUCCGACCUGACUUCUCGGAUACCUGAAACUGCCCAGAGACCCAUUAUUUUUCCGGGACGCUCCCAGGAAGAUAAAUUUGUCCGUUCUCCUUGAUGCGGAUGAAUUUCUCGUCUUCUUUCCCAGCGGGUUUUGGUUGAGAGACGUGAGAGAAGAGGGAAGCCCUAGGGCCCGGGCCCAGUGACGGCGCGCUGCAGACCUGGACAGGAGAAGGGGUUCAGAAAGGCGGGAUCAGCGUAGACUUUCGUUGCAUCAGGCCACACCUUCUGUCUGCGCUCACGCGUGUCUGCCCCUUAAGGACUCUGUCCUUCCCCUCCCGUCAGCCCUCAGGAGAAAGCCCCCGGCCCUGGCUUCAAACCCCUAUUAACUGCUGUUGGUCAGCACAGCACAAAGCCACCUUUGUGAGAGAGGUUAGGUUAGCUUCUCUUUACUGCUCUAGAAAUCUGGCUGCAGACAGAACUAGCGACCUGGGGCCGGUCCCUGGCACAGUCUCCGGGCGGUGUCCUAACUGGAACGCUGAACGAGUCCCCAGUGCCGGAGCCUUGCGGUGGCUGAAAAAUGACGCUUGCAUUCCCGUCAUCAACCAGAUGGCUCAUGUCGAGUGUCCUGAUUGUUUUGGGUAUUCUUUGUGUGCAACUUUGAGUCCCUGUCUCGUAUUUGGGUCAGAGCAACGGGAAGGACACAUGACUUGCUUUAAAAUUAGCCUCAAACUCAUUGCAUAACCGGUCUCGUUUUCACUAAAUGGAAUGGUUUCUUGAGAGGACAGCAUGGCAUUUGUAGUUAAGUCUGUCUGGUUGAGUUACCUUGGAGAACAUCGUUUCCAUCCACCAGGACUCAGUGUUUCCACCUGUGAAAUGGGGUAGCUUUUGUUUGAAAGAAAAUAAAUGAAGGGUAACAACAUAAAAGUAACCACCUCAUCCAGACCCCCUUCCCCCAGCCACACCACACACACACUCACACUCACACACUCACACACACACACACACACAGUUUUGGGGCUUGUCAGCAGAUGGACAACAAUCUCUUCUAGUCCCCAAAAGACAGGGCAAACAUAGAGCGGAAAGAAAUGCUUACUCCCUAAAUCACGCCAUCGUCAGAGCCCAGCGGCAUGUUCUGAUGGCUUAGUGAGCUCAGAGAAUAUAUUUUAAGUCUUAAGAAAACAAACUUUUCUGUCUGUUUUCUCCUGGGACCGGGACAUAGUCUUCAUACAAAUUCAAAAUCAACAAAAAGAAACUAACAAAAAACCCUCCUGACUGCUGUCCUUCUCCAAGAACAAAUGGUUUCUCCAGAUUUCUGAUUCAUCUUGGCAAUGUGUGCGAAUAAACCCGAAUGACCCCGAGGAUAAAUAGAUGCAAAGAACUAGGCGUGAUUGUGUAUGCCUAGAAUGUUUCUUUGUAACAGCAAACAGUGUUCCCAUGAUCGGUUGAGUUAGAAGAAUGGUCUGUUGUAAUUUAUAUCUCACUUCUGAGGUGGUGGUAAAUUGCCGAGGGUUAGAGCAGAGAGUGCUAAAAGAUGUGGGCCUCUUUUAAGUAGGGGGACAAAGAGGAGGUGACAUUCAGCUAGAAGCCACCAAGCACAGGGUAAAUCCAUCUUACAGCCGGCUGUGUCACCAGGCGAGGAGGCUUCCGGGUGCUCUAAGAUCUUUGCAGCAGACGGACCUGGGUUCAGAUCCCAGCUUCCUGGCCACGUGGCCUCGGGCCAGCUUCCUGCCUUUUAGAACCUCUCUCCGCUCCUCUGUAAAGUGAGGGUGAGAACAGUGCCUUGUGAGGCUUAAGUGAGAUGAUGCUUGUAGAGAGGGCUCAGCAGAGUGCCUGGUACACAAUCAGCCCUGACAAAUGCUGGACAUUGUGGGAAAUUGUACUUAGCCCUCAUCUCCUAGGGCUGCCAUGACGAAUUACCGCAAAUUUGGUAACUUAACACAACAGAAAUUUAUUCUCUUGCAGCUCUAGGGACCAGGAGUCUGAAAGCAAGGUGUUGGCAGCUCGGUGCUCCCCUGAGGGCUCUGGGGAGUAUCCUUCCCCACCUCUAGCAGCUUCCAGCGGCUGUGGGCAUUCCUUGGCUUGGGGCUGCAUGCAUCGCUCCAGUCUCUGCCUCCAAGUUCAUGCAGCCUUCUCCCCUUCUCCCUCUGUCUCUCUUCUAUUUGUCUCUUAGAAGGACACAUUAUUGUAUUUAGGGCCUACCUAGAUAAUCCAGAAUGAUCUUAUCUCGAGACCCCUAAUUUAACACAUCUGCAAAAAUAAGGUCACAUUCACGGGUUCUAGGGACUAGGAUGUGGGUAUAUCUGUUCGGGGACCACUAUUCAAUCCACUACAGUAAUAUUUAUAUGGUUAUUUAGCAAGAAGUGCAGUACUGGCCAUCACCCUGGGUGGGCGGGGUCCUGGGCCCAUCACUUUAGAAGGCCCUCUGUCACAUGGCACGGGCUCAGUGUAACCCCCAAUGCUGAACAUCUGCAGGUGACUGACACCCUCCAGGCCCCAAGGUAUCCCCUACAUCUUUUGCCCCGUGUUCUCCAAGCAGAAGGUAACCACGCCCAAAGCUGCAAAGGUUUGUAGAGUGUGCCACUGCUGACCUCAGAUCUGACGCUGCCUCGGAGAGCGAGGAAGAUGCUGGUGGUAGAAGCUCCUGGGAGAGAGGGAAGAUGACGUAGCUGUGCCAUCCUCCUCUCCAAGUGGCCCGCCUGCAACAGUCUCUGGUUUCUCUUCAUGUUCCAACGGAUGGUUCUGGAAUUAUUCGUGAAUUAGCACAAUAUCCACAACAGUUCACGGUACACUUAAAUGCAGAUGUAUGUAGGUGCACCAAUAAUAUGUGUGAAGCAUGAUAUCAACUCUUUACAACACUAUAUGGAUCUGUAUAUUUUUAAAUAUUGUUUUAAGAGAUUUUGAAAAUCAUGAAAUAAAUGAUGGUGAUUUAUAGGAUGAAAUUAAAACAUUUGUAACAGUGUCUGUGAUCAUGAAUAUAUCAGAUGCAACCCAAUUACAAUGUUGGUAUAUAAAACUCAUGAUCCAUUUCCAAAUCAAAGUAUUGCUUUAAGAAUUUUAUUGACGAUUUCAAUUGCUGCUGCCUCUGCAGAGCAAAAUUUCU